UACGUAGGGGGCUAGCGUUGUCCGGAAUCAUUGGGCGUAAAGCGCGCGUAGGCGGCCCGGUAAGUCCGUUGUGAAAGUCAAAGGCUCAACCUUUGAAAGCCGAUGGAUACUGCCGGGCUAGAAUCCGGAAGAGGCGAGUGGAAUUCCUGGUGUAGCGGUGGAAUGCGCAGAUAUCAGGAGGAACACCAAUAGCGAAGGCAGCUCGCUGGGACGGUAUUGACGCUGAGGCGCGAAAGCGUGGGGAGCAAACAG
This 252-nucleotide ribosomal RNA is filed under the name uncultured bacterium. RNAcentral's name for it is "partial 16S ribosomal RNA". It matches the Rfam family "Bacterial small subunit ribosomal RNA", at positions 524 to 775 of the family's 1533-position model. The record is from RNAcentral.